AGUUACAGUGCCGUCCUGGACCCAGCAGGAGGAGCCCCAUGGAGCCUGGGGCCACAGGCCACAGGGGACAAGGGCCAGACACCCUGGCCAUGGCUCUGGGCCAUUGAUCCAGCCUGGGCUGGCCCGGUGGGGGUGGGGAGGCCUUGGCCUGGACAAACAAAGGCUCCUGAGGCCUGCGUGCAGGCCCAGCACCUAUCCGCCACUCCCAAAGGAUGCCCGUGGCCAAGGCCCCCCAGGUGGCUGGCGGGCAGGGGGACGGAGGUGAUGGCGAGGAAGCAGAGCCGGAGGGGAUGUUCAAGGCCCAUGAGGACUCCAAGAGAAAAGCCCGGGGCUACCUCCGCCUGGCGCCCCUGUGGCUGACCCUGGUUGUGCUGACUUCCGUGGGGGUGCUACUCUGGUAUUUCCUAGGGUACAAGGCGGAGGUGACGGUCAGCCAGGUGUACUCAGGCAGCCUGCGCGUGCUCAAUCGCCACUUCUCCCAGGAUCUUACCCGCCGGGAAUCUAGUGCCUUCCGCAGUGAAACCGCCAAAGCCCAGAAGAUGCUCAAGGAGCUCAUCGCCAGCACCCGCCUGGGAACUUAUUACAACUCCAGCUCCGUCUAUUCCUUUGGGGAGGGGCCGCUCACCUGCUUCUUCUGGUUCAUUCUCCAAAUCCCCGAGCACCGCCGGCCGAUGCUGAGCCCCGAGGCGGUGCAGGCACUGCUGGUGGAGGAGCUGCUGUCCACGGUCAACAGCUCGGCUGCCGUUCCCUACAGGGCCGAGUACGAAGUGGACCCCGAGGGCCUAGUGAUCCUAGAAGCCAGUGUGAAAGACAUAGCUGCACUGAAUUCCACGCUGGGUUGUUACCGCUACAGCUACGUGGGCCAGGGUCAGGUCCUCCGGCUGAAGGGACCCGACCACCUGGCCUCCAGCUGCCUGUGGCACCUGCAGGGCCCCGAAGACCUCAUGCUCAAACUCCGGCUGGAGUGGACGCUGGCCGAGUGCCGGGACCGACUGGCAAUGUAUGACGUGGCUGGGCCCCUGGAGAAGAGGCUCAUCACCUCGGUGUACGGCUGCAGCCGCCAGGAGCCUGUGGUGGAGGUCCUGGCAUCGGGGGCCAUCAUGGCGGUGGUCUGGAAGAAGGGCCUGCACAGCUACUACGACCCCUUUAUGCUCUCCGUGCAGCCGGUGGUCUUCCAGGCCUGCGAGGUGAACCUGACGCUGGAUGACAGGCUGGACUUCCAGGGUGUCCUCAGCACCCCAUACUUCCCCAGCUACUACUCGCCCCGAACCCACUGCUCCUGGCACCUCACGGUGCCCUCUCUGGACUACGGCUUGGCCCUCUGGUUUGACGCCUAUGCACUGCGGAGGCAGAAGUAUGAUUUGCCGUGCACCCAGGGCCAGUGGACAAUCCAGAACAGGAGGCUGUGUGGCCUGCGCAUCCUGCAACCUUACGCCGAGAGGAUCCCCGUGGUGGCCACGGCCGGCAUCACCAUCAAUUUCACCUCCCAGAUCUCCCUCACAGGGCCUGGUGUGCGGGUGCACUAUGGCUUGUACAACCAGUCGGACCCCUGCCCUGGAGAGUUCCUCUGCUCCGUGAAUGGACUCUGCGUCCCUGUUUGUGAUGGGGUCAAGGACUGCCCCAACGGCCUGGAUGAGAGAAACUGUGUUUGCAGAGCCACAUUCCAGUGCCAAGAGGACAGCACGUGCAUCUCACUGCUUAAGGUCUGUGACGGGCAGCCUGACUGUCUCAACGGCAGCGAUGAAGAGCGGUGCCAGGAAGGGGUGCCCUGCGGGACAUUCACCUUCCAGUGUGAGGACCGGAGCUGCGUAAAGAAGCCCAACCCACAGUGUGAUGGGCGGCCCGACUGCAGGGACGGCUCAGACGAGCAGCACUGUGACUGUGGCCUCCAGGGCCCCUCCAGUCGCAUUGUUGGUGGGGCCGUGUCCUCCGAGGGUGAGUGGCCAUGGCAGGCCAGCCUCCAGGUUCGGGGUCGACACAUCUGUGGGGGGGCCCUCAUCGCUGACCGCUGGGUGAUAACAGCUGCCCAUUGCUUCCAGGAGGACAGCAUGGCCUCCCCGGCGCUGUGGACGGUGUUCCUGGGCAAGGUGUGGCAGAACUCGCGCUGGCCUGGAGAGGUGUCCUUCAAGGUGAGCCGCCUGCUCCUGCACCCGUAUCACGAAGAGGACAGCCACGACUACGACGUGGCGCUGUUGCAGCUCGACCACCCGGUGGUGCGCUCAGCCGCCGUGCGUCCUGUCUGCCUGCCCGCGCGCUCCCACUUCUUCGAACCCGGUCUGCACUGCUGGAUCACCGGCUGGGGUGCCCUGCGCGAAGGCGCCCUGGGGCGGAUGCUGUGGCCUCAUUUUAUGGAUGGAGAAACCAAGGCUCAGAGACAUGUUGCUGCCCCACCAGCAAUGCUCUGCAGAAAGUGGACGUGCAGUUGAUCCCACAGGACCUGUGCAGCGAGGCCUAUCGUUACCAGGUGACGCCACGCAUGCUGUGUGCUGGCUACCGCAAGGGCAAGAAGGAUGCCUGCCAGGGUGACUCGGGUGGUCCGCUGGUAUGCAAGGCACUCAGUGGCCGCUGGUUCCUGGCAGGGCUGGUCAGCUGGGGCCUGGGCUGUGGCCGGCCUAACUACUUCGGCGUCUACACCCGCAUCACAGGUGUGAUUGGCUGGAUCCAGCAAGUGGUGACCUGAGGAACUGCUCCCCUGCAGAGCGGGUCCCACCUCCUGGACUCAGAGAGCCCAGAGCAAUUGCCAAGCAGGGGGACAAGUAUUCUGGGGAGGGGGGCGAGCGGGCCCUGUGGUGGCAGGAGGUGGCAUCUUGUCUUGUCCCUGAUGUCUGCUCCAAUGAUGGCAGGAGGAUGAAGGAGUGCCAGCAGCUGGGGGUCAAGACAUCCCCUGGGGACCCAGGCCCACACCCAGACCUUCUGCCUCCCGAUUCUGUCUCCACCGUCCCCUUCCUCCACUGCUGCCUAUUGCAAAGAAGUGGCUCAGCAGCAAGAAUGCUGGCUCUACGUCCCCAGGAGUGUCUGAGGUGUACACUCUGUACAGAGGCUGCUUGGGCAGUCUUGCCUCCAGAGAGCAGAUGCCAGCUUUGGAAGCCCCUGGUCUAACUUGGGAUCUUGGAAUGGAAGGUGCCCCCAUAGGAGGGGACCCUCUGAGCCCUGGGGACUGCCAGGUAGGCCAGCUGCCACCCUAAGCCAAAAAAGGUGGGGAAGCCCUGACUCCAGGGUCCUUGCUCCACCCCUGCCUGCCACCUGGCCCCUCACAGUCCCGACCCUCACCGGGAGGUGAGCUCAGCUGCCCUUUGGAAUAAAGCUGCCUGAUCCAA
RNA transcript from Piliocolobus tephrosceles (Ugandan red Colobus), 3317 nucleotides. It is a transcript of the gene named transmembrane serine protease 6, with no coding region annotated. The transcript has 19 exons. NCBI's taxonomy places the organism in Eukaryota, Metazoa, Chordata, Mammalia, Primates, Cercopithecidae. The record is from RefSeq and is a predicted model, not a curated record.